Molecule: transfer-messenger RNA, 404 nt
Filed under: Candidatus Peribacteraceae
Lineage: Bacteria; Candidatus Peregrinibacteriota; Candidatus Peribacteria; Candidatus Peribacterales
Also listed under: 1 other name
Description: UBA2170 sp002436205 Standard tmRNA
Rfam family: transfer-messenger RNA
About the family: Bacterial tmRNA, also known as 10Sa RNA or SsrA, is named for its dual tRNA and mRNA-like properties.
Source: RNAcentral
GGGGAUGACAGGCUUCGACAAUGUGAUUUCUGGGGUUGCCUUGUUUCUGUUCGGGAUGGCAUCGGUUCCCGUACCCACUUGAUGCAUCUUUAUCUGCAAAAUCAGAUAUUCUCGCAACCGUGCGUCGCUCGCUUGAUAAGUUCGCUUUUCAGCCUGCAUUCGCAUUGGCUGCAUAAGUUCGCCCUAGCGCGAACACGUCACUUUCCCGACUUCCACUACGGAAAACUGGCGUCACUUAGUGGAACGGAUUACUCCUUGGUGUGAGAGUAACUCUGUAUUAGCACUGACCCUCUCUAUCUAUUUUUCGUCUGAUCUUUAUGGAUAGAGUGAUCUAGAACAGACAUAACAGUAUGAACAGCUGCUUCACAUAUUGGACCCGGGUUCAAUUCCCGGCAUCUCCACCA